Long non-coding RNA from Bos taurus (domestic cattle), 802 nucleotides. The record is from Ensembl. NCBI's taxonomy places the organism in Eukaryota, Metazoa, Chordata, Mammalia, Artiodactyla, Bovidae.
GACUAUCUAUGUGUAUACAGACUUCUACUACGUCAAACACUUGGAUGCUUCGAAACUUCUGGAUGAUUGCCUGCAUCCUUCUACAUUCCUCCAACGAUUUAAUGAUAAAAAUAGAUUAUAUACUGGGAUACAUUCUGAAAACAGCGAGUUCUUUGGUUCACUCUGAUAGGAAGAGCCCAAAGCACCAGCCAUGUCAAGAAUCCCAAGAUGGCAGAGUUUCUGGACCUAUGGCACAGGCCCUGCUCCCUGGAAUUUUCUUUUCGCAGUCUCCCCAGACACAGCCCAUACCCACACCAGCCACUCUGAAGAGGUUUCCUCAGCCAGCAGGCCCUCUCCCUGUUACCAUGGCAGCAGCCAUUCUGGAGAACAAGAAGCCAAUACAAGGAGAAGACAAAGCCCAGACUGUGUGAUUCCUGUCUGCCCACUGCGGUCAUAGAGUCUCUGACAGAGCUACCCACUUCUGCCACUGAACAUAACAAGCCACAUGUGAACGAGGGUACCAAUCAGACUUUAUGGACACUGAAAUGUGAUGGUCAUGUAAUUUUUAUAUGCCAAGAAAUACUAUUCCUUUGAUUUGUUUUCCAGUCAUUUACAAAUAUAAACACCAGCCUUAGCAUUCAGGCUAUAGCAAAACAGGCAGCUGGCCAAACCUGGCCCUCCGGCCAGAGCUUGAUGACUCUGAUAUAUAGAGAGACAUUAUCAGAGUUAAUGAAUUAGUCAUUAUAAAAGGUUCUUCUCUUUUUUUGGAAUGAAUAUUUUUACAGAUGAAAAAGCAGGAGUAAGUAUAUACACACGUAUUAAA